RNAcentral lists this long non-coding RNA (333 nucleotides) under Pogona vitticeps (central bearded dragon). Its description in RNAcentral is "lncRNA (ENSPVIG00000002189.1)". Lineage: Eukaryota; Metazoa; Chordata; Lepidosauria; Squamata; Agamidae. The record is from RNAcentral.
UACACCCUUCUCAUUGGUAUCUUCAUUUGUUCCCAGAUUUAGCUUCCACUAUUCUGCAGUUCAUGGAACAGGACAGUCAGCAAGUUGAAGAUCAAACCGUAUGUAACUUCAACAACCUCAGUGGCAGCAACAUCUCUGUCACACAGAGAUAUUUCAGAAGCAAAAUCCCAAUGGUAUGAAACAAAACAUCUGAAUGACGAAAUUAAGCUAUCUAGUGGAUCGUGGUGAUGACAACCAUUAGGACACAAGAAAUAGUAAAGUGGCUGACAGUAGUAGAAAACUGCUGGCAUAUUAGGCCAAAACCAAAAUAAAAAUAAAAAAUAAAGAAAACCA